ACGCACGCUGGCGGCGUGCUUAACACAUACAAGUCGAACGGAAAGGCCCUGCUUUUGUGGGGUGCUCGAGUGGCGAACGGGUGAGUAACACGUGAGUAACCUGCCCUUGACUUUGGGAUAACUUCAGGAAACUGGGGCUAAUACCGGAUAGGAGCUCCUGCUGCAUGGUGGGGGUUGGAAAGUUUCGGCGGUUGGGGAUGGACUCGCGGCUUAUCAGCUUGUUGGUGGGGUAGUGGCUUACCAAGGCUUUGACGGGUAGCCGGCCUGAGAGGGUGACCGGCCACAUUGGGACUGAGAUACGGCCCAGACUCCUACGGGAGGCAGCAGUGGGGAAUAUUGCACAAUGGGCGGAAGCCUGAUGCAGCAACGCCGCGUGCGGGAUGACGGCCUUCGGGUUGUAAACCGCUUUCGCCUGUGACGAAGCGUGAGUGACGGUAAUGGGUAAAGAAGCACCGGCUAACUACGUG
RNAcentral lists this ribosomal RNA (467 nucleotides) under uncultured bacterium. RNAcentral describes it as "partial 16S ribosomal RNA". It matches the Rfam family "Bacterial small subunit ribosomal RNA", at positions 29 to 507 of the family's 1533-position model. The record is from RNAcentral.